Phrynosoma platyrhinos (Desert horned lizard) is the source of this 72-nucleotide non-coding RNA. The record is from the annotation of a GenBank genome assembly. NCBI's taxonomy places the organism in Eukaryota, Metazoa, Chordata, Lepidosauria, Squamata, Phrynosomatidae.
GCCGGAUAGCUCAGCCAGGAGAGCACCAGACUUUUAAUCUGAGACUCCAGGGUUCAAAUCCUGGUAUGGGCA